This is a long non-coding RNA of Ostrinia nubilalis (European corn borer), 1338 nucleotides long. RefSeq lists it as uncharacterized. The record is from RefSeq and is a predicted model, not a curated record. The transcript has 3 exons. NCBI's taxonomy places the organism in Eukaryota, Metazoa, Arthropoda, Insecta, Lepidoptera, Crambidae.
GUUAAGUAUCCUCAACACUUACUUUGACACAAUGUCAUAAUUUAUCUAUGGGUGUCAUGCCUAUAAUUUGGUUUUGAAACGUAUUAUUUACAUGCCAUAAUGGUAGAAAAAAAUAUUUUUAGUGGCUGGCAACUCUAACUUUGACAUUAGUGAGCCAAAAUGGCGACUAGAAGAUUUGCUCUGCGGACUGCUCAGCAACGACUAAUUCGGAAAUAAACACUACAGAAUUCAAGAUCAAGACGAAUUUUAGCGCUGAUUCCCGAAGAAAACGCUCCUUCUGAUGUUAGUGGGGAAUCAAACUCCGAGAAUGAAGACGAAUUGGCUAAUGUUCAAUUUGGGGACCCAGAGUCUUCCGAACCACCUUCACUUGACUCUUCCUUGGAACGGCUUAAUAUUCUGAAUUCUGAUUCUGAUGCUGAUCAACACCGAAGCUGUACCCCGUCUCCUUCAAUUCUGGCUAAUAAUGGUAAUGUAGACGACAUCAAUACUGAACCUACCUUUGAUUUCACCCUACCAUCCAUAAGUUCAUGCCCUCCUUUGACACCGAUGUCAAACAUACCUUCAAUAACAACUUCAUAUAUACUCGACCAUGUGUCAGACUCCCCCCUGCAAUCUCCACUUGUCGCUUCAUUGUGGCGUGGAUUUAGCGGACAUGCUAAUUGCCCUGUACCGAACAGAAAUAAAGAGCAAGCGCUGGUACUUGUCCAUAUUUUCCCAGUUACUCGAUAUCUGUGUAAAUAAUGCCUGGUUGUGUUACCGCCGUGAUCAAAGCCGAAAAGGUAAUAAAAAAUACAAACCUCUAAAGCACUUCAGACUUGAAAUUUACAAGGCAUUGCUGUAUAAAGGAAAUAAUGUAGAAGUAUCCAGUGUUCCAGACUUAAAGGAAGAAGAAAAGAUUAAAAAUCCUAAACGCACCAGGCCCAUAGAUGACGUAAAAUUUGAUUCUAUAGAUCAUUUCCCUGAACAUGGACAGGAAUAUGGUCGAUGUGCUUUUUGCAAAAAGGGGUUUACAACUGUUUACUGCCUGAAAUGUAAUGUCCGGCUGUGUUUUGUCAAAGGAAGAAAUUGUCAUUUCAAUUACCACCAUAAUAGGGUUUAAGUGAUGUAAACUUUUUCAUAUUUUAAUAAUAAAUUGUGAUAAAUUCUAUAUAACUUGUAUUAUUUUCCUUUAUUGAGGUGUAAUAUUUGUUAAGCAUACUUAACGUUCAAAUGUUGCCUUCUUUUUAUGAACAUUGUUUUUUGUUGAGUAUACUUAACGUACUGUUUUCAGGAAUUCCUUCAAUGAACUUUUUUUUAAAUAUUUUUUACAUUUUAUUUUAUCACCUAGGAACACUAUAU